RNAcentral lists this ribosomal RNA (1372 nucleotides) under uncultured bacterium. RNAcentral describes it as "bacterial SSU rRNA". It matches the Rfam family "Bacterial small subunit ribosomal RNA", at positions 28 to 1381 of the family's 1533-position model. The record is from RNAcentral.
GAUGAACGCUGGCGGCGUGCCUAAUACAUGCAAGUCGAGCGAACGGACGUGAAGCUUGCUUCUCUGAUGUUAGCGGCGGACGGGUGAGUAACACGUGGAUAACCUACCUAUAAGACUGGGAUAACUUCGGGAAACCGGAGCUAAUACCGGAUAAUAUUUUGAACCGCAUGGUUCAAAAGUGAAAGACGGUCUUGCUGUCACUUAUAGAUGGAUCCGCGCUGCAUUAGCUAGUUGGUAAGGUAACGGCUUACCAAGGCAACGAUGCAUAGCCGACCUGAGAGGGUGAUCGGCCACACUGGAACUGAGACACGGUCCAGACUCCUACGGGAGGCAGCAGUAGGGAAUCUUCCGCAAUGGGCGAAAGCCUGACGGAGCAACGCCGCGUGAGUGAUGAAGGUCUUCGGAUCGUAAAACUCUGUUAUUAGGGAAGAACAUAUGUGUAAGUAACUGUGCACAUCUUGACGGUACCUAAUCAGAAAGCCACGGCUAACUACGUGCCAGCAGCCGCGGUAAUACGUAGGUGGCAAGCGUUAUCCGGAAUUAUUGGGCGUAAAGCGCGCGUAGGCGGUUUUUUAAGUCUGAUGUGAAAGCCCACGGCUCAACCGUGGAGGGUCAUUGGAAACUGGAAAACUUGAGUGCAGAAGAGGAAAGUGGAAUUCCAUGUGUAGCGGUGAAAUGCGCAGAGAUAUGGAGGAACACCAGUGGCGAAGGCGACUUUCUGGUCUGUAACUGACGCUGAUGUGCGAAAGCGUGGGGAUCAAACAGGAUUAGAUACCCUGGUAGUCCACGCCGUAAACGAUGAGUGCUAAGUGUUAGGGGGUUUCCGCCCCUUAGUGCUGCAGCUAACGCAUUAAGCACUCCGCCUGGGGAGUACGACCGCAAGGUUGAAACCCAAAGGAAUUGACGGGGACCCGCACAAGCGGUGGAGCAUGUGGUUUAAUUCGAAGCAACGCGAAGAACCUUACCAAAUCUUGACAUCCUUUGACAACUCUAGAGAUAGAGCCUUCCCCUUCGGGGGACAAAGUGACAGGUGGUGCAUGGUUGUCGUCAGCUCGUGUCGUGAGAUGUUGGGUUAAGUCCCGCAACGAGCGCAACCCUUAAGCUUAGUUGCCAUCAUUAAGUUGGGCACUCUAAGUUGACUGCCGGUGACAAACCGGAGGAAGGUGGGGAUGACGUCAAAUCAUCAUGCCCCUUAUGAUUUGGGCUACACACGUGCUACAAUGGACAAUACAAAGGGCAGCGAAACCGCGAGGUCAAGCAAAUCCCAUAAAGUUGUUCUCAGUUCGGAUUGUAGUCUGCAACUCGACUACAUGAAGCUGGAAUCGCUAGUAAUCGUAGAUCAGCAUGCUACGGUGAAUACGUUCCCGGGUCU